UGAGUUUGUCAGACGAUCGCAGCUGCAAGGGCCGAAAGGUGGCAGAUGAGGAAAGUCCGGGCUCCCCAGGGCAGGAUGCUGGAUAAUGUCCAGUGAAGGCGACUUUAAGGAAAGUGCCGCAGAAACAUACCGCCGAUGGAGCUUUGCUCACAGGCAAGGGUGAAAUGGUGAGGUAAGAGCUCACCAGCAGCCGGGUGACCGGUUGGCUGGGUAAACCCCAUCCGGAGCAAGACCGAAUAGAGGAGCAAUGAGACGGCCCGUCUCGCUCCCGGGUUAGGUCGCUCGAGAUAUAGGGUAACCUAUAUCCUAGAUAGAUGAUCGUCACUCCUUACGGAGAACAGAACCCGGCUUAUCGACAAACUCAAUUU
Molecule: RNase P RNA, 368 nt
Filed under: Peptococcaceae bacterium
Lineage: Bacteria; Bacillati; Bacillota; Clostridia; Eubacteriales; Peptococcaceae
Description: RNase P RNA component class A
Rfam family: Bacterial RNase P class A
About the family: Ribonuclease P (RNase P) is a ubiquitous endoribonuclease, found in archaea, bacteria and eukarya as well as chloroplasts and mitochondria. Its best characterised activity is the generation of mature 5'-ends of tRNAs by cleaving the 5'-leader elements of precursor-tRNAs.
Source: RNAcentral